Esox lucius (northern pike) is the source of this 2346-nucleotide long non-coding RNA. The record is from Ensembl. Lineage: Eukaryota; Metazoa; Chordata; Actinopteri; Esociformes; Esocidae.
GUUGACAGAGAGACCUGUUGGACAUUAUUGAAACUUGGGUAAUCAUUGACAAUAUGGUCUGAUUGCAUUAUUGGCCAAAACGAGGUUUAUGAUCUCUCUCUCUUGCUCCUGUGUGAAUAUGGGGCCCCUCCCUCCUUGGUGUUCUGGACGUUCAGUCCUAUGUUGGCCUAACAGAAUACAGGUAGCUUACUGUAAAAUGAUACAGGAACAGAUACCAAAACUGUUGAUAUAGUACAUGCAGUAAGCUAUGGAUUUUCUGUUGAGAGAAGAUACGUUUCUCACCUGUGCAGGUACACAGUGGCAUCACUAUUGAUGCCACUGUGUACCUGCUUAGGUUAGUCUGUACUCUCAGUCCAGCCUCCCUCAGUGUUAGUCUGUACUCUCAGUCCAGCCUCCCUCAGUGUCAGUCUGUACUCUCAGCCCAGUCUCCCUCAGUGUUAGUCUGUACUCUCAGUCCAGCCUCCCUCAGUGUCAGUCUGUACUCUCAGCCCAGCCUCCCUCAGUGUCAGUCUGUACUCUCAGUCCAGUCUCCCUCAGUGUUAGUCUGUACUCUCAGCCCAGCCUCCCUCAGUGUCAGUCUGUACUCUCAGCCCAGUCUCCCUCAGUGUCAGUCUGUACUCUCAGUCCAGUCUCCCUCAGUGUUAGUCUGUACUCUCAGCCCAGUCUCCCUCAGUGUCAGUCUGUACUCUCAGUCCAGUCUCCCUCAGUGUUAGUCUGUACUCUCAGUCCAGCCUCCCUCAGUGUCAGUCUGUACUCUCAGUCCAGCCUCCCUCAGUGUCAGUCUGUACUCUCAGUCCAGUCUCCCUCAGUGUCAGUCUGUACUCUCAGUCCAGUCUCCCUCAGUGUCAGUCUGUACUCUCAGUCCAGCCUCCCUCAGUGUUAGUCUGUACUCUCAGCCCAGUCUCCCUCAGUGUCAGUCUGUACUCUCAGUCCAGUCUCCCUCAGUGUUAGUCUGUACUCUCAGUCCAGCCUCCCUCAGUGUCAGUCUGUACUCUCAGUCCAGCCUCCCUCAGUGUCAGUCUGUACUCUCAGUCCAGUCUCCCUCAGUGUCAGUCUGUACUCUCAGUCCAGUCUCCCUCAGUGUUAGUCUGUACUCUCAGUCCAGCCUCCCUCAGUGUUAGUCCGUGGUUUAUUACAUGGCCCACAAUUGUAGCACAAAUUUCGUUACACAGAUUUGGUUGUCUUUUUCUUUGUGCAUGUCCUACCCCUCCUCCAGGUCUUCCUUUCCCUCUUCUUCUCCCUCUUCCUCUUCCUCCACCUUGUUCUCUCUGGAUUACCUCAUCCACACUCUCCUUCUUCCUCUGACACUGUCACAUUUUUUUUAAGACAGGUGAACUUACCUGUUGCCUUUUUAUAGUGCUUAAACCUGAUUGGUGUGGCUACAAUUAAGCACCAGUGUGUGUGCACACCUGGUGGCUGUGUUUAACCAGUUGGUUCAUGGGUGUGUUCAUUUGAAAGCCUUUGCUUUGAAAUUGCAAGGAAAUGACACAUUUCUGUGUCAAAUGCGUACAAGUGUGUUUAGUGUUUUUCAAAUCACGGUGCCAAAUUCUGUCAUCUGCUUCAGCCCACAUAUGCAUAACCUGCUUGUGUUGGGGACUUCAGAGGAGGAACAGAAUAUGAGCUGUUCAGUCUAGAGCUGAAUAGGCUGUUGUGGACACUGCCUUCAGAGGUCACAUUAGUAAUAAUCUGGACCAGUACCAACCACACUUAUAAUUGGUUGAUGUAAGUCUUUUUAAUUAGUUGAUGCAAGUCUUUAUAAUCGGUUGAUAUAAAUCCUAAUCAUUUUUUCUUUAUUUUCUUUACGUUCUUGUAAUGUUGCUUAUAGGAGGCAGGAUGCAGGCGUGGGGAUAACGGAGGACUCUUAAAGAGAACUAAGUCUAAGACAUGAUAAAACUGAAACAAAGACAAGAAAACAAACAACGUUGCAUAGGAACAAAACCAAACAAUGACCGACAACAUACACUAGAGAAGGAAGAACCUAAAUAGUGACAGUGACAAGGAACACAAGUGAGGGCAAUGACAACCAACCAGGUUGGACUUCACUGCCAUGCCGUGGCUGGGUGUGGCACUGCGGGGCAGGAGAGGUAAACCCAAGUGGCAACUCACAGUUCUUAUGUAGCUACACCUCUGACACCACCAUGUUACACCAGUGACAUCUCUGACGCCACAAAGAAAUGUUACACAAUUGACACCACUGCAUUACGCCGGUUACAGCUCGGACACCACAAAAACACCAUGUUAUACCACUGAUACCAUCAUGUUACGCCAGUUACACUUCUGACACCACCAAAACACCAUGUUACACCUCUGACACCACCAUGUUUUCAUAAUAAAACAAACCUUUUU